GAUGAACGCUGGCGGCAUGCCUAACACAUGCAAGUCGAUCGGUAAGGCUCUUCUUGGUCCUCGAUUGGCGGACGGCCGGGUGAGUCGUAGGUACACACCCUGCAGGUAGGGAUGAGACACGGCAGGAUGUGCUAAUACCUCCUACGUUCUUCGUGUUAAAGCAUUUAUGCGCUGUAGGGGUUUCCUGCGUCCUGUUGGAUAGUUGUUGAGGUAAUGGCUCACCAAGUCGAGGAUGUGUAGCUGGGCUGAGAGGAUGAUCAGCCAGACUGGAGCUGAGACACGGUCCAGACUCCUACGGGAGGCAGCAGUGCGGAAUACAGCACAAUGGGCGGUAGGUUGAUGGAGUUAGGACGCGAGAAGGAUGAAGGCUGUGGGGAUGGAAACUGCUUUUAUACGAGAAGAUUAUGACGGUAACUAAAGAAUAAGCAACGGCUAACUACGUG
RNAcentral lists this ribosomal RNA (443 nucleotides) under uncultured bacterium. Its description in RNAcentral is "partial 16S ribosomal RNA". It matches the Rfam family "Bacterial small subunit ribosomal RNA", at positions 28 to 507 of the family's 1533-position model. The record is from RNAcentral.